GGGUCAGUAGGUUGGUCGUGCCACCGGUACGUACUGGUCUCACUGAUUCCUCCUUCCUGAAGAACCGUAAUGCCAUUAAUUUGGUGUUGCGGGGAGACAGGACUGUUACUUUGAAAAAAUUAGAGUGUUUAAAGCAAGCUAACGCUUGAAUUCAUUAGCAUGGAAUAAUGAAAUAGGACGAUCGAUCCUAUUUUUUUGGUUUCUAGGAUUGACGUA
RNAcentral lists this ribosomal RNA (216 nucleotides) under Glomeromycotina sp. RNAcentral describes it as "partial small subunit ribosomal RNA". The stretch from base 40 to 216 matches the Rfam family "Eukaryotic small subunit ribosomal RNA", at positions 686 to 864 of the family's 1831-position model. Lineage: Eukaryota; Fungi; Glomeromycota. The record is from RNAcentral.